AAUCAACACUCCACUCAGACAAUGCCCAGACCUCCAGACACCAUGUGUCAAGCUCGGAUUGCCUUAGACAGGUGCAAUUUAAAAACAGCUUUCAUCCUCUUUUCUCUCAUAUUGUCACACUAUGGGUUCCGACUUCUGGCUCCUUUCCUCAUAAGAAGCUCACCCAGCUGGAACUCUUAUGGGACCUUGGCACCAGAGACCACAAAUUCCUCUUUGAAAUUUUCUAACAGCAACAAUGGUAUUUCUGACUUGGCUUUCUUGUAUUUCUCUCAAGUUAACAAAAUUGGUUGAGCAUCUACCAUGGGCUACAUGCUGAGCUACAGAGUUUCACUCUGUCGCCCAGGCUGGAGUGCAGCGGCAUGAUCUCGGCUCACUGCAAGCUCCACCUCCCGGGUUCACACCAUUCUCCUGCCUCAGCCUCCCGAGUAGCUGGGACUACAGGCGCCUGCCACCACGCCCAGGAGCCCAACUUGCUGUUUGGUAUCACAUGUGCUAUACGUGCUGUUGAUGAAACUGCUAAAGGAGCUGAAUGUGACUGACGUCUUUGGAAGGAUGAGACUUAGCAUGCCUGUACAGUUGUGUCCAAGUGCUGUCCGUAUCUCCCAAUGGAAAGGAACAAAACCCAUCAGAAGAUAUCAGAAGAUAGGGAUUUUUGUCCUGAUGCUACACUUACCAGCUGUCCCUCAGUGUUCUACUUCUUAAAAAAACAGAGAUGGAUAAACAGAGGCGACUGGAGGAUAAAGGCCUUGCUCAGUGUCACACAUUUCAGUCACUAAAUAAGACAGAAUAGAUGCCAGUAUUCUCAUCCCCUCACAAAUAAAAAGCCUUCAAGCUCUUGCAGUCAACAAGAACUUUUGGAAUGAUUUCACUGCCUGAAAAGGCAGAUACAUAGAUGACAUCCACAAAUAGGAAGAAAAUCAACCUGAACCUGAGUGUGUGGGCUCACUGACUCUAAGCAGUAGAGACAGAAGAAAACUAAAGUUUUAGCGAAGAAGGGUCUGAAAGAAAAUAAAUAUAGCUCUUUAUCAAGCUCUGUUUUUACACAGUAAAACAAAGGCAAAAUUACUCUUCUUUAAGUAGUAAUUCUUAUCUCUUGAUUAAGUCACCUACUCAUUCAUUUAAUAAAUACAUACUGAUUGCCUUCUAUGUGUUGAGCACUCAUCUCUGUAUUGGAAAUAUAAUAAUGACCAAAGUUGACAAUAGUGAUAACAACAAUAGCUAAUAUAGCAGGCACUAAUAAUUAUUUGUUGAGUAAAAUGUCAAAAUUCAGUGUGAACAGCAUUGUAUUUUGGGCUGCAUCCACUGACUAUAA
Long non-coding RNA from Symphalangus syndactylus (siamang), 1312 nucleotides. RefSeq lists it as uncharacterized. Lineage: Eukaryota; Metazoa; Chordata; Mammalia; Primates; Hylobatidae. The record is from RefSeq and is a predicted model, not a curated record.